UUGGGAUACAUUUAAAAAAUAGCAAUACAUAUAUUGCUAGAUGUUAUUUAUUCAAUCUACUGAAAGCAUGUGUGCUUAUUUGAUGUACAUAUGGAUUCAAGCAUCUUUGAAAGAUCACAAGGUGGAAAGCACUGUUCUAAAUUCCCCUCCAACUCUGACAAUCUUAUGUUCUAUGUGAAGUCUAGGUUAGCUCCCUGGAGGCUUCAGAAUCAAUCUGAGUCAGGAAAAGCAAAAAGUCCUUGGUCUUUAAAGGAAGAAGUGAAGGGGAUGGACAAAACUGCCACACGCUCUCCACCAACCAACCUCCCUUCUCCUCAUCCUCCUCCAAAGUGACUCUGGCUUCUCUCACUCCACCCCCUAAUCCCUCCUACAAUUCUCUGUAUAUACCAAAAGAUCGAGCAGGGACACAAUAGUGAGAAAGGCCAUUUUUCCAAGCAUAUGCUAAUAGAGUAUUGUCCAAUAGGUAAUUAGCCUUAAGUGCUCAGUUGUCUGAUUCCAGUGAAACCAGAGUGUCAGCCCUUUACAAUUCUAAGAUUCAUUCCAUUGUAAGAUUCUAAUCUAUGCUUUAAUAUUCACUUUGGCUCUGACUUACACUCUAUAUUCUAAAAUCCCCUUUUGAUUCUGGUUUUUCUAUUUCAAAAUCCUUUCCAUUUCUGAAAUCCUGUGCACUAAGAUUCACUUUGGCUUUGGAUUUCUAUUUUGAGAUUCCUUUGACUUUGACAUUCUAUGUCCUUAUCUAAGGUGCCUUCUAGCUCUGAUGUUCAAUGUUCUAGGGUUCCCUCUAACUCUGACUUUAUAUUUUAAGGUCCCUUCUGCCUCUGAUAUUCUAAGGUCCUAGAGUCUAUGAAGCUCACCUCUGUGUUUCCCUCUCCAGAACCUUGCUUACUUCUCCUGAACUUAAGAAAAAAAAAAUCAUAUAAGUCUUGCAUUUAGCCCUGUGUCCCAUACUUCUAAAUCACUGGCAUGCAGUUUCUCUCUUGGACUGCGGAUUCUUUUUGGAAAGACAUAAUUCUCACUAUAACCAUAAAAAAUUUCCUUGAAAGACCCAUGCAUUUCUGUAGAAUAAAAUGAAAACAUAAGCCCAAUCAUUUUCAUCCCCUUGGAGAGGAGUCAGGAGAUCUGGAAUUCCUUGUUCAGUGGAUUUGUUGCUUGCCUCAGCAGACAAUACCGUAACUCCCUAUGCCUUAUCUGUCCAAAUAUGCCAUUAUGUGUCUUAUCUACUGGUAACCUGAAAGAUAAUGACUUCUACAAAGCAUCAAGCUUCUGAAUUUCAUUCAUCCAGAUCAAGCUCUCCCACAGGUGUCCCACAGAGCUCUGUACUGGAUCUUCUCCUCCCUAAAUACUACUUCACUUGUUCAUUUCCUCAGCUCCCACGGAGCUGGUUCUUCUCCAGCUAGGCUCAUGGUUCUCAAAUCUACCUAUCCUGCCCUCAUCUCUCUACUGACCUCCAAUCUCACAAGUCCAGCUACCUUUCAGACAUUUUAAACCAGAUGUCCAGUAGACAUUAAACUUAACAUGUCCAAAACAGAACUCAUUUCCCCCCUUACUGCCCCCCAUACACCUCUUAUCUAUUGUUGUAGAGGAUAAUAAUAUCCUCCCAGUCUCUCAGACUUGCAACCUAGGAGUUAUCCUGGAUUCCUCACCAGCUCUUCUCCCCCAGCCUUGCCCCCAUAUUUAAUCUGUUUCCAAGGCCUGUUGAUCUCAGCUUUGCAGCAUCUCUCUCUCACCUCCAUUACCUCAUGCCUGGAUUAUUGCAAUAGCCAGCUGAUGAGUCUGUUUACCUCUGUGUCUUCCCAAACCAAUCCAUCCAGAUUGAUUUUCCUAAAGCACAGAUCCAGUGAUGUAAUCCCUUUCCUUCCACAAACUCCAGGGGCUCCCUAUUUCCUCCAGAAUCAAAUAUAAAAUAUUUUUUUGGUUAUUCAAGCCCUUCAUAACUGAGACCUUUCCUACCUCUCCAGUCUUCUUAUACUCUUACUUCUCAGCAGUGACAAUGACCUUUCUGAUGUUCCAUAUGUAAAACAUUCCAUCUCUCCAAUCCAGGUAUUUUCUCUGGAUGUGCCCUAUACCUGGAAGGCUCUCCUUCCUCAGUUCCACCUAUUGACUUCCUUAAAUCCCAACUAAAAUCCCAAUUUUUUUACAAGUUUUUCCCAACCUCUCUUAAUCUUAGUACCUUCUUUUAAUUAUUUCCUAUUUAUUUUCUAUAUAGCUUGUUUAUAUCUACUUAUUUGCAUGUUGUCUCCCCAUUAGAUUAUCGCCUUUAGAGCAGGGACUUUCUGUCCCUUUUUGUAUCUCCUGUGCCUAGCACAUAGUAGGUGCUUAAUAAAAAUUUGAUUGAUUCCAAAGAUCAGUCAUGAAAACAAUGACAAAUACACUGAGAUCAAACUUUUGUUCAUUCAAAAGUCCUAUUCUCAAUGCUAGAGAAGAACAAAUAUAAAAAUCAAUACCUGUGCUUAGAAGUGGGGAUAUAAUUAUAAAAUAAGAUAAUCCCUGCCCUCUCAAAAAACUAAAAAUAGUCAAAAUCCCAUCUUAUUUAAAAUACCUUAUUCUUCUGGUAAUGUUCUGUAGUUGCAUAUCAUGGAAAACUGAUAUAUUAGAAAAGUUCAAAAUUACAGGGAACUCAAAAGGAAUGUAACUGCAAUGUUAAUGCAACACAUUCUGCACACCAAGAAAUAGUGUACAAGAGAUGCAUCAUGAUGUAGGAAGAAAACAAGCAUUAUUAAGUGCCUACUGUAUACUAGGUUCUGUACCAAGUACUUUACCAUUAUAAUCUCAUUUGAUCCUCACAAAAACCCUAUGAGGAAAAACAAACAAACAAAAAACCCUGUGAGGUAGAUGCUAUUAUUAACCCCAUUUUGCAGGUGAGGAAGCUAAGGCAGACAAUGUUUAAAUGACUUGCCCAGGAUCAUCUACUAGGUAAGUGUCUGAGACUAGAUUUAAACUCAGGUGGUUCUGAUUGCAGACCCAGAGGUUUAGCACCAGCUAGCUUCUUCUAAUAAAAAUGCUAAUUUAGCACUAUCCAUUGUACCACCUACCUGCCAUCUAGUGGAUGUAAUGGAAAGAGACAAUGGAUUUGGGGUCAAAAGGCCUGGAUUGGAAUCCUAGUUCAUGCUAGCUAAGUCAUUCUGGGCAAGUCACUCUUAGUCAUCUGUGGACUGGGGAUAAUGAUCUAAUAAUACUCAGAGGACCUACCUCAUAGGGUGGGUAUAAGGAAAAGUUCUCCGUAUAAAGCACUAUAUGAAAAUGGGACAUGUCAAAGACAUGAUAAAGUACAUGUAUAACUAGAAAAGGAACCAGACCAGUCAUGUUGCAAGGAAAAGGGUCAAGAAUUGGGCAGCCCACAUUCUGCACUGGGCCUCAGGAUCUAUUAAAGGAGCUGGAAGGCAGAUCUGUCAUGAAGGUUUUAAAGAAAGGCAAAAACAGGAAUCACAAAGUAUGACAAGUUACAGGGGAGCUACAACCUACUACUGGAGAGUACUGCUGCUGAUGAAAUGUGUUAGUACUGAAGAAGCAUCUUUGCUCUUAAGAAACUUACAGACUAUUAAGUAUGGAGGGUAAGAUCAGGGGUUCAAAAUUGAGAGAAUUGAAGUCGUUCCCCAGUGGAAAAAUAGUCAGUAAUAUAGAAAUAAGUUUCAAAUGUGUGCACAUGUAUAAUCUGUAUCAGAUUGCUUGUUGUCUUGUCAGGGAGGAGAUAAGGAAGGGAGGGAAAAAAUUUAGAACUCAAAAUUUUACAAAAAUGAAUGUUGAUAUACAGGACUGCUUGCCAUCUAGGGGAGGGGGUGGAAGGUGGGAGGGAAAAAUCGGAACAGAAGUGAAUGCAAGGGAUAAUGUUGUAAAAAAAAUUACCCUGGCAUGG
Molecule: long non-coding RNA, 3853 nt
Filed under: Sarcophilus harrisii (Tasmanian devil)
Lineage: Eukaryota; Metazoa; Chordata; Mammalia; Dasyuromorphia; Dasyuridae
Description: lncRNA (ENSSHAG00000025217.1)
Source: RNAcentral